Molecule: unclassified non-coding RNA, 175 nt
Organism: Chelonoidis abingdonii (Abingdon island giant tortoise)
Lineage: Eukaryota; Metazoa; Chordata; Testudines; Testudinidae
Source: Ensembl
UUGAGAUGCCUGAAGAUUGAAAUCUUUCUAUCCACAGAUUAGGUAUGGCAAGUCAUGGGCAAUGCAAGCUGCUCUUACAUUGCCCUGCUAAUGUGCCUGAACCCUGAUUUGGAGGGGCCACAGCUAGUGACUGAAUCAUUGGUCUCUCUGUUGAGACUGUCAGGCAUCACCACAG